GCCCCGUUAGCUCAGAAGGUUAGAGCACCGACCUGCUAAGUUGGGGGGCAUGGGUUCAAGUCCCAUACGGGGCG
This 74-nucleotide transfer RNA is filed under the name Dehalococcoidia bacterium. Its description in RNAcentral is "tRNA-Ser". It matches the Rfam family "tRNA". Rfam says of the family: Transfer RNA (tRNA) molecules are approximately 80 nucleotides in length. Their secondary structure includes four short double-helical elements and three loops (D, anti-codon, and T loops). Lineage: Bacteria; Bacillati; Chloroflexota; Dehalococcoidia. The record is from RNAcentral.